UUAACUCAAAUUUGUAUAGAGUUUGAACGUUUGCCUACGUUUGCUGCUAGGGGCGCUGUUCCAGCGGUACACAAAUUUUAGUUA
This 84-nucleotide microRNA precursor is filed under the name Bombyx mori (domestic silkworm). RNAcentral's name for it is "mir-2807 microRNA precursor family". It matches the Rfam family "mir-2807 microRNA precursor family". The record is from Rfam by way of RNAcentral. Lineage: Eukaryota; Metazoa; Arthropoda; Insecta; Lepidoptera; Bombycidae.